This 392-nucleotide ribosomal RNA is filed under the name uncultured bacterium. Its description in RNAcentral is "bacterial SSU rRNA". It matches the Rfam family "Bacterial small subunit ribosomal RNA", at positions 362 to 771 of the family's 1533-position model. The record is from RNAcentral.
UAUUGCACAAUGGGCGCAAGCCUGAUGCAGCGACGCCGCGUGAGGGAAGACGGUCUUCGGAUUGUAAAGCUCUAUCAGCAGGGAAGAAAAUGACGGUACCUGACUAAGAAGCACCGGCUAAAUACGUGCCAGCAGCCGCGGUAAUACGUAUGGUGCAAGCGUUAUCCGGAUUUACUGGGUGUAAAGGGAGCGUAGACGGAGAAGCAAGUCUGGAGUGAAAGCCCGGGGCUCAACCCCGGGACUGCUUUGGAAACUGUUUGUCUAGAGUGCCGGAGAGGUAAGCGGAAUUCCUAGUGUAGCGGUGAAAUGCGUAGAUAUUAGGAGGAACACCAGUGGCGAAGGCGGCUUACUGGACGGUAACUGACGUUGAGGCUCGAAAGCGUGGGGAGCAA